Molecule: ribosomal RNA, 460 nt
Filed under: uncultured bacterium
Lineage: Bacteria
Description: partial 16S ribosomal RNA
Rfam family: Bacterial small subunit ribosomal RNA
Source: RNAcentral
CCUACGGGGGACAGCAGUGGGGAAUAUUGGUCAAUGGACGAGAGUCUGAACCAGCCAAGUAGCGUGAAGGAUGACUGCCCUAUGGGUUGUAAACUUCUUUUAUAUGGGAAUAAAACGUUCCACGUGUGGGAUUUUGUAUGUACCAUAUGAAUAAGGAUCGGCUAACUCCGUGCCAGCAGCAGCGGUAAUACGGAGGAUCCGAGCGUUAUCCGGCUUUAUUGGGUUUAAAGGGAGCGUAGGUGGAUUGUUAAGUCAGUUGUGAAAGUUUGCGGCUCAACCGUAAAAUUGCAGUUGAAACUGGCAGUCUUGAGUACAGUAGAGGUGGGCGGAAUUCGUGGUGUAGCGGUGAAAUGCUUAGAUAUCACGAAGAACUCCGAUUGCGAAGGCAGUUCACUGGACUGCAACUGACACUGAGGCUCGAAAGUGUGGGUAUCAAACAGGAUUAGAUACCCCUGUAGUC